AUCACUUCUAGGCCUUUUGGCUAAGGUCAAGUGUAGUAUCCGUUCUUGCCAGUUUAAAAUGUGUGUUCAUUCCUUUGCCAAUUUCUCUACCGGGGUUGCCCUUUUCUUGUUGAUCAGUAGUUCUUUGUACAUCUGUAUUCUUGAUGUACAAUUCUAGAUAUUUUCAGUUUUGCUCAACACAAAUUUCU
This is a small nuclear RNA of Saimiri boliviensis boliviensis (Bolivian squirrel monkey), 188 nucleotides long. RefSeq annotates it as U2 spliceosomal RNA. The record is from RefSeq and is a predicted model, not a curated record. NCBI's taxonomy places the organism in Eukaryota, Metazoa, Chordata, Mammalia, Primates, Cebidae.